This is a small nuclear RNA of 69 nucleotides. Its record names the gene U1. It matches the Rfam family "U1 spliceosomal RNA". Rfam says of the family: U1 is a small nuclear RNA (snRNA) component of the spliceosome (involved in pre-mRNA splicing). Its 5' end forms complementary base pairs with the 5' splice junction, thus defining the 5' donor site of an intron. The record is from Ensembl.
UUCCCCAAAUGUGGGAAUCUCGAUUGCAUAAUUUCUGGUAGUGGGGGACUGCGUUCGCGCUCUCCCCUG